CGCUAGAAUAGUUUCACAAUUUUUGCGCAAAAUUAAAUUUUAAGAAAAAGUGUGUUUUAUGUGAUUAAAAAUUAAAGAAAUGUGUGUACAAAUAGUGUUUUUAAAUGGGCAUGCAGUGAUUAUGUACAACAGUUUUCUUUAUGAUGGUCAAUACAAGUAACAGUUUGUCAUUUAUCACAUGCAACUUCUACAACUUGGUUGGUCUAACAGUUUUUAGAGAAGUGUGUUGUGUGUGUGAUUUUAAUUCAUCAAGGAAAAGGAAACCGGAAGUUAACCAUAGAGAAAAAUUCUUGCAAAUUAUUGGACCUUUAAGAUAGCCAUACAAUCUAUAUUGUAUUCGUGAUGCGAGUUUUUAUUGCAGAAAGCCUUUAUUGAAUAUAAAGC
Molecule: long non-coding RNA, 384 nt
Organism: Calliphora vicina (urban bluebottle blowfly)
Lineage: Eukaryota; Metazoa; Arthropoda; Insecta; Diptera; Calliphoridae
Exons: 3
Source: RefSeq, a predicted model, not a curated record